GCCUGGCUGGCUCAGUUAGUGGAGCAUGCGACUCUUGAUCUCAGGGUUGUGAGUUCGAGUCCCAUGCUGGAUA
This 73-nucleotide transfer RNA is filed under the name Canis lupus familiaris (dog). It matches the Rfam family "tRNA". Rfam says of the family: Transfer RNA (tRNA) molecules are approximately 80 nucleotides in length. Their secondary structure includes four short double-helical elements and three loops (D, anti-codon, and T loops). Lineage: Eukaryota; Metazoa; Chordata; Mammalia; Carnivora; Canidae. The record is from Rfam by way of RNAcentral.